This 491-nucleotide ribosomal RNA is filed under the name uncultured bacterium. RNAcentral describes it as "partial 16S ribosomal RNA". It matches the Rfam family "Bacterial small subunit ribosomal RNA", at positions 28 to 507 of the family's 1533-position model. The record is from RNAcentral.
GAUGAACGCUAGCGAUAGGCUUAACACAUGCAAGUCGAGGGGUAACGUGUUGGAAGCUUGCUUCCGAUGACGACGACCGGCGGAUGGGUGCGUAACGCGUAUGCAACUUGCCUCACAGUGGAGAAUAACCCGGAGAAAUCCGGACUAAUACUCCAUACACUCUUAAGUACGCCUGUACAUGAGAGGAAAGAUUUAUCGCUGUGAGAUAGGCAUGCGUCCUAUUAGGUAGUUGGUGAGGUAACGGCUCACCAAGCCGACGAUAGGGAGGGGUGCUGAGAGGCAGAUCCCCCACCUUUGGACCGGGGCACGGCCCAAACUCCUACGGGAGGCAGCAGUGAGGAAUAUUGGUCAAUGGAGGAAACUCUGAACCAGCCAAGUCGCGUGAAGGAAGAAUGUCCUAAGGAUUGUAAACUUCUUUAGCGAGCGAGUAAGGACUUCCACGUGAUGGGAGUUUGAAAGUAGCUCGAGAAUAAGUAUCGGCUAACUCCGUG